GGAGAAUCUUAGAUUUUCUUAAUGUUCUGUAGGGUGACGAGCAAUGCGGCAACAUGGACGUUGCCGCAAGCAAAAGCCGGGACAUGGAUGUCACGUCUUUUGCGGUUGCGGUCGUGAAUAAUAUUUUGGCAGAACAUUUAGA
RNAcentral lists this non-coding RNA (142 nucleotides) under pig gut metagenome. The record is from RNAcentral.